AGCAUGGAUUCACCAAGGGGAAAUCAUGCUUGACUAACCUGAUAGCCUUCUAUGAUGGAAUGACUGGUUGGGUAGAUGAGGGGACAACAAUGGAUGGUGUCUACCUUGACUUCAGCAAGGCUUUUGACGCUCUCUCCCAUAACAUC
This is a non-coding RNA of Tinamus guttatus (white-throated tinamou), 146 nucleotides long. The record is from RefSeq and is a predicted model, not a curated record. Lineage: Eukaryota; Metazoa; Chordata; Aves; Tinamiformes; Tinamidae.